Long non-coding RNA from Mustela lutreola (European mink), 2764 nucleotides. RefSeq lists it as uncharacterized. The record is from RefSeq and is a predicted model, not a curated record. Lineage: Eukaryota; Metazoa; Chordata; Mammalia; Carnivora; Mustelidae. The transcript has 4 exons.
CGCAGAACAAGAAGUUCAGGAUUCUGAGCCCACUCCUUUUACUCUUGGGGCCGGCCCCACUUCCUCUGGGGGCCCAGGCAUCCCUCUGGCAAGUCUUCAGCUAAGAAAUCUGCAGAAGUCAUUGGCCAGACUUAGAACUAAUCCUUUGUGCCAAAAGGGUUGGUGGAAGGGGAGGGAGCUUUGCCAGAACCAGGAUGUUCCCUGCUCGUGGUGAACCCUGCUGCCUCCCAGCCAUCCCACUGCUUUUCUUUGGGAAGUGAGGGAAAUGCGAUUGAGGGGCCAGUGUAAUUCGGCAACACGUUUAAUCGCUGUUCCAGUGACUUCUACAUUAAUGAGAGAGGCAAGAUGAAGGAUCCCUUACCAGGUGGAAAAAGAGGCUUUCUGAGUAGAGAAAGAGAUCACAAGUAGGCAGAGAGGCAGACAGAGGUGGAAGCAGGCUCUCCGUGGAGCGAAGAGCCCGAAGCGGGGCUCAAUCCCAGGACCCUGAGAUCAUGACCUGAACCAAAGGCGGAGGCUCAACCCACUGAGCCACCCAGUGCAGGCUCGUCCUCACUCGGCCCUUCCUCAUCAGUGUUGGCUUUCAGCUCGCCCGCCCGACAUCCUGUGGACGCUGCAGUUCAGACAAACAGCAAGAUCAUCAAAGAGAAGAGCAUGAAUGAAAAACUGCUUUAUGACAUGCCUUCAAAGUGUCUUUUUAGAAGUUCAAAGGAUGCGGAGAGGAGGCAGGGGAAUCAAAGACGAUGGGGGAGAGCAAUGAACUCUCCAAGGGAUCAUUGGGGUUUCAUUGUAUAUUUUCUAUGACGCUUGUGAUGUAAAAAUCAAAAGUAAUCUCAGCCCUCAAGGGCUCUGUGUGUGUGUACAUCUGAUGCAAAGGAGAAGACUCACCUUGCUGAUGGAAGGCUUUACCCUGGCAUUCUCAGUCACACGCUUGCAUCUGCAUUUCCUGUUUGGACCUUGAUCGAAUAUUUUGAUCUGGGAAGACUGGGUCCAGAGACGGAGAUUGAAUGCUGCUUAUGUGGUUCGAUGGAGAUGAAUAAUUUAGUCCGUGCAGAAGUUCCCCAUUACCUUUUCCAUUACCUUUCCAUUACUCUAAACAAGCUAGAGUCCACUUGUAGCAGUGGCUAUGCAGAGCUCAGAAAAGAUCUGGCAUAGAUGAUAAGAUCCCAGAGGCCUCUGAUCUGACAGAGAGAACUGAGAUUCUACUUGAGUUUGGAUCCAGACCUAAUUGAUAUACUCAUGGGAACGCCACUGAUACUUGGACACUUUAGAAUGCCUUAUGCCCAAUCCAUCCAGACAGAAUGCUUAGGCAACUAACUAGUACCUGGCACAUGGUGGGUGCUUAGGUGAAAUGAAUGAAUGACGGAACAGCUGAGCAGCUUUGUUUUAUAACCCUAGAGUAGAUUCUUUUAUGGGAAUGUUUCCUAUUGUCCUUGGGCCAUUGAUGCCCAGAAUACAAGGAUAGUCUUAAGGAUCUGAAUUGCUCUGUUAGUCAAGUCUGUAAGGGAUUUCAUCUGCAAGGGACAGAUACCUCAACUCAAACUGGACUGAGAUAGAAGGAACUUUGUUGAUUAAAAUUAUUGAAAACUCAAGGGUCACUUGGGAAGCAUCUGCCUUUGACUCGGGUCAUGAUCCUAGGGUCCUGGGAUUGAGCCCCACAUUGGGCUCCUUGCUCAGUAGGGAGCCUGCUUCUUUUCCCUCUGCCCCCUACCCCUACUAGUGCUCUCUUCUCUCUCUUGCUCUACCCUGCUCUCUCUCUCUCUCAAAUAAAUAAAUAAAAUCUUUUAAAAAAGUAAAAUUAUUGAAAACUCUAAAGUAGAUUUGACUUCUGGCUUGACUGAUAAAAUAGAUAAAUGUGUCCCUGUCAAAUUCAUACAUGAUGACACCUCUCACAAGCAGUAUAUAUGGUAUUAGGAGGUGGGCCCUUUGGGAAGUGAUUGGGUUAUGAGGGUGGAGCUCUCCUGAAUGGGGUUACAGCUAAAACCAAAGAGGCCCCAAGGAGCGUCCUUGUCCCUUCUGCCCUCUGACAUCAUAGAGAGAAGAUGGGUGUCAGUAGACCAGAAAACCCUUACCAGACAUUGAAUUUGCCAGCACCUUGAUCCUGGACUUCCCAGCCUUCAGAACUGUGAGAUACGAAUUUCUAUUGCUUACGUGCCGCUCAGUCUAUGAUGUUUUUGUUACAGUAGUGAGAAUGGACUAAGAUAGGUAAUUCAAGGGCUCUGACAGUGUCUCCAGGAUUCCAUUUUAAUUUGUCCAUCUCUCAGCUCUGUGUUGUGUGUAUUCUCUGUUUAUGGGCAGACUCUCCCAUAGGGUGCUGGAGCACAGAAAAUAUUAUUUUGCAGUUAAAAAAUAUAGUCUCCAGAAGCAGACUUGAUUCAAAUCCCUAGUCCAUCACUUUACUAGAUGUGCAAACUUAGAUUAGUUUAAAGUCUCUGUGCUUUGUUUUCCUUGUCCUUACACUGGAGAUUAUGGUGGUGAUAGUCAUAGAUAAAACUUGCAGAACACUUGCUACAUGCCUGGUGUUCUUCUAAAGACUGUACAUUGAUAAAUUGACUAAUCUGUACAACAACCUAUGAGGGAGGUACUAUUAUUAGCCUCAUUACAUGGAUGAGGAAACUGUGGUAUAGAAAGUUUAGACAACUUGCCUGUUACACAACUAGUACAUGAUGUAGCCAGAAUUCAAAUGCGGUCCUAUCAACCUCCAAGCUGUGCCACCUCAUAUAAUAGAACUGGGGUUGAUGUAGGAGUUGAAUGAGAUAAUAAUAUA